Molecule: RNA transcript, 6328 nt
Organism: Sapajus apella (tufted capuchin)
Lineage: Eukaryota; Metazoa; Chordata; Mammalia; Primates; Cebidae
Gene: RIC8B
Gene name: RIC8 guanine nucleotide exchange factor B
Exons: 12
Source: RefSeq, a predicted model, not a curated record
ACCUGGAGGCAGCGGCUUGGGCGCGCAGAGCGGCCGCGGCUCCCCCGCACCUGCGGCCAUGGAUGAGGAGCGCGCCCUCUACAUCGUCCGGGCCGGCGAAGCGGGGGCUAUCGAGCGGGUCCUGAGGGAUUACAGCGACAAGCAUAGGGCUACUUUCAAAUUUGAAUCAACAGAUGAAGAUAAAAGAAAGAAACUCUGUGAAGGCAUAUUUAAAGUCCUUAUAAAGGACAUCCCAACAACAUGUCAAGUGUCCUGCCUAGAAGUACUCCGCAUUCUCUCCAGAGACAAAAAGGUUUUAGUUCCUGUAACAACUAAGGAAAAUAUGCAGAUACUGCUGCGACUAGCCAAGCUAAAUGAGUUGGAUGAUUCUUUGGAAAAGGUGUCGGAGUUCCCAGUUAUUGUGGAGUCAUUAAAAUGUCUGUGUAACAUAGUGUUCAACAGUCAGAUGGCACAGCAGCUCAGCCUGGAACUUAAUCUUGCUGCAAAGCUCUGUAACCUCCUGAGAAAGUGCACGGACCGGAAAUUUAUCAAUGACAUUAAGUGCUUUGACUUGCGCCUACUCUUCCUUCUGUCACUUUUGCACACCGACAUCAGGUCACAAUUGCGCUAUGAGCUCCAGGGACUACCGCUGCUAACCCAGGUCUUGGAAAGUGCCUUUAGCAUCAAGUGGACCGAUGAGUAUGAAUCGGCCAUAGACCAUAAUGGACCUCCUCUCUCACCUCAGGAGACAGACUGUGCCAUUGAGGCCCUCAAAGCUCUCUUCAAUGUGACGGUAGACAGUUGGAAGGUCCAUAAAGAGAGUGAUUCUCAUCAGUUUCGUGUAAUGGCAGCUGUCCUUCGUCAUUGUUUACUAAUCGUAGGUCCAACUGAAGACAAAACAGAAGAGCUACACAGCAAUGCAGUCAACCUUUUAAGCAAUGUUCCGGUCUCUUGUUUGGAUGUUCUCAUUUGUCCAUUAACCCAUGAAGAAACAGCCCAAGAGGCAACGACUCUAGAUGAACUGCCCAGUAAUAAAACAGCUGAGAAAGAAACAGUUUUGAAAAAUAAUACCAUGGUAUACAAUGGUAUGAAUAUGGAAGCCAUUCAUGUUUUACUCAGUUUUAUGGAGAAGAGAAUAGACAAGGGAAGCAGCUAUAGAGAGGGUCUAACUCCAGUUCUUAGUUUAUUAACCGAAUGUUCCCGAGCCCAUCGAAACAUCCGAAAAUUUCUCAAAGAUCAGGUUUUACCACCGUUGAGGGAUGUGACAAAUCGACCUGAAGUUGGCUCAACUGUGAGAAAUAAGCUGGUGCGCCUCAUGACACAUGUUGACCUUGGAGUCAAGCAAAUUGCUGCUGAAUUCCUUUUUGUCCUUUGCAAAGAGAGAGUGGAUAGUCUGCUGAAAUAUACUGGCUAUGGGAAUGCUGCAGGACUGUUGGCGGCCAGGGGCCUCUUGGCUGGAGGAAGAGGAGAUAAUUGGUACUCAGAGGAUGAGGACACAGACACUGAAGAAUACAAAAAUGCAAAACCAAACAUUAAUCUUAUCACUGGUCAUUUAGAGGAACCAAUGCCAAACCCCAUAGAUGAAAUGACAGAAGAACAAAAAGAAUAUGAAGCCAUGAAACUUGUCAACAUGCUUGAUAAACUUUCCAGGAGAGCAGAUGUGAAGGACCUGCACCAGGAUGGUGGUUAGCAACAGUGGCCCGUGCCAAAGCACUUACCAAAGUGAUGAUGACUAAGUUUCUAAAUUGGAACCAGACCUAGUUAAUCUUCUGCUUAUCCUUACCCCAUCACUGUCUAACAGGGUACAUUGCCUUUUUGCUUAUAUAUUCUGCCAUCAAAAUCUGUUUUAAAAUUUAUAUUAAUGAAAGAUAAUUGUUCUACCAUUUCUUCCUUUUCUUACUCCUUAGCCAAUAAGUGUUUUGUUUUCCCUUUUUGCCGGUCACCGUGUACUAUUUAGAACAUGACUUUUAUAAUAAAUGCAGGUACAGAUACAGGAUUAGUUCCCUUUAAUCAAAAGAUUAAUUUUAAACUUACUAAGGCUGAAACAGGUAGUUUAUAACUGAAAAAUAACAUAGUUUUUUCUUAUAAAUAAAUUAUUUUACUCUCCUCACAAAAAUAUCAACAACUGUGUUUAUACCUCCCUUUGUGAUAAAGUUAGUGAAGGAAAUGCUUUUCAGGCACAUUUCACAAACAUGAUGUAAUUUUUAGAGCAUUGUAAGAUCUGUUAUAGAUAUGAAAAUAUAAAGAUCCUGUUUUCAUCAGAAAAUUCUGUAGAUCUACCCUGUCCAGUAUGGUAACCACUAGCUAUAUAUGACUAUUGAGCACUUGAAAUGUGGUUAGUCCAAAAUGGGAUGCCCUAUCAGUGUAAAAUACUCAGCACAAAAAUGUAAAAUAUCUCAUUGUUUAAUAUGGAUUAUAUAUGGAAAUAUUUUUGCUACAUUGGGUUAAAUAAAAUAUUAAAAUUAAUUUUACCUAUUUUUCAAUGUGGCUACUAGAACAUUUAAGAGUACAUAUAUUUGGCUUACAUUGUGGCUUACAUUAUAUUUCUAUUAGACAGUGCUGUUAUACCUCAUUUAAAUACACUGUAAGAUUGCUUGGAAGUUGAAUUAAGAGGACUUGGAUCCAGCUAUAUUAAUAUAUCCUUAAGGUCAGGGGAGGAUUAAUUCGAGAAGCUUGAUAUUGUCUAUCCUUAGGUUUGGGAGAUGUUUCCAAUGGCUAGACACCUUUAAGUAGGAUACAAGGCUACCUUUAUAUUGCCUAAUUGUAAUCAUUGUUCUUUAGCUCUGUAGUGGGAAUAACUAUUUUGAGCUCCUGGUUAAAGUACUGUCUGAAAUGGCUUUUGACUAGCAGAGAAACAUCAAAUAAGAAUCAUCUCCACUGACUGUUUGCUCUCUUAGUUCUCUCCUGAUUCUUUAACUUUUAAGUCUUCCUAAUUGGGAAGAGCAUUAAGAACUUCUGUUUCUGCUACUUUAUUCAACAGUGUCAGUUGGCAUGCCCACCUCUUAUUAAUAUUUAUUUUGUUAAUUUGGACAACAGAAUAGAAAAAUUAUGUAAAUAAAUUACCAAGAAAUAAUUUUUAAAACCACUUAGAGAUAAAACUGAACUUUAUUCUUUCAGUACUAUACCUUAUCUCUCUUUCUGUAUAUUUUCUUAACCAUGUUGUUUACUGUGAGGUGGGUAGCAGAUUUUUAGAAACUUUGCAUGUGAUCUAACAGAAAUGAGAACAAUGACAAAAGACUAACAUUUAUAUAGUGUUUUAAGGUUUAAAAAAUGCUUCCAUAUAUGUUAUCCCCAUUGAUUAUUAAAAUAGCCCUGUAAAUUAAGUAGGGUCAGAGGUAUUUUUUUAAGGAUUAAAUGCACCAAAGAUUAAGUGACUAAUCCAAGUUCAGUUAUCAGUCUUGAGACUACAGAUUGCAUGCUAUUGUGAAAAUUACCAACAGCUCUCAAAAGUUGUCAGUCUAAUUAUUUUUAAGUAAGACAUUCUAAAUUUUAAAUCAAUGAAAAGCACAAAAGACAGAUAGUAAGCAUAUUUACCUUAGAAGAGAACUAAGAUUUCGAGGACGUGCAUUACUGCUUUUUCAUUCUAUAGUUGAGCUCUUUGCAAGUAUCAGGUCAAAUGCUAAAUAGCUUAUGUUUUAAAAAACAAAGCUUUAUGAAGGAAACAAGUAAAAUUUCUAUGAUUCCAUGUUAAUACAAGGUUUUUAAAUUGUUUUAAAAAGAGAAUGAUUAUGGCUCUUCUGACAAAUCCUUAUACAUGUGAUCACAUUAAUAAAACCUAACUUAUAAAAGGCUUCUGUAUGGGACUGUUUACCAAGCUUGUUCAACCUGCAGCCCAGGAUGCCUUUGAAUGCCACCCAACACUAAUUAAUUAACUUUCUUAAAACAUUAUGAAAUGUUUUUGCAUUUUUUAAAGCUUAUCAGAUAUCAUUAGUAUUAAGUGUAUUUUAUGUGUGGCCCAAGGCAAUUCUUCUUCUUCCAGUGUGGCCCAGGAAAGCCAAAAGAUUGGACACCCCUGGUUUAGACAAUUACCAAUUACAAGACAUGGUAAUGUGGGGACAGUAUGCCAUAUCCAUUUGUCUCGGGUAACAGUAUUUUUAGGUGGCAUAUUUUACUUUCCCAAUUGUACCCAAUCCUGAAGCACAAUGAUGAGGGCUGAGGGUAGGAUCUCAGAAUCGUCUUUGAAAGAUGUAGCCUAGACCUCAAAUUUGCUAUGGAAAAGCUGCCAUACUCAUUCCUACUGAGUCAGUGGCUUAGUGAAAGAUCAGUAUAACCAGUCAGCACUAGGAAGUCAUUAGAUGAAAGAUGAAGGACUAGAGUUAAAGCCCAAAGGACAAUUUCACAGUAUCUAACCGAACAUGUUAACCAGUCCAAAGGUUAUAUUAUUUCUGUGAGAAAAAGGUAAAAACAUUUAUAAGAAUAUCACAAGUUAUUGAGAAACCCGUUAUACUUCAGUGGAUUAUGAACUAUUCCAGUAAUGCUGAAAUCUUGAUACACUCCCAAACUUUGGACUUUUAACAAAGAACUACAGAGCUUCCUUCUCAGGGCUAUCACAGGCUCCAUUCUAACAGGCAUUUUUUGAAAAGCUCUAUGUUAAUUAAAAUGCUUUAUUUAUAUACUAAUAUCUCAUCCCAUCUUUCAAAUGUGAAAAGGAAUUAAAUAUGAAAUGGCUAAUUUAAAAUGUCAGGAUUUCUUUUUUCCAAGCCAACCUUACAUUAAGAGCAGGAAUCCUGUGCCUAAGAAAUGGUUCCCAAUUAUCCUGUCUUGGGUUUUGUUAUACAUUGUACAGAAGUCAACAAAACAAGUAUGUAACAGAACCUGCCUAAAUAGCAGCUGCCCUCAUUAAAAACAGAGAAUUAAUCAGGGGGUGACUGAAGGAAGCAGUGCCUCAUAUGUUUCCCCCCCUUUUCUUCUUUUCUAAUCAUAGAACAAAAUAUGUUACAUAAAAGGAUCAGAACUAUUAUGCAGUACUCAAUUAGAGGGAGGUGAAUAGGUCUCUAACAUGCUGUUUUAUCAAAAGAGCAGACUGGUGUUUGCAUGACUGUUGUUUCAUUACAGACCCUGUCAUUAAUUCCAUGUGUCAAUACUGCCCUGUAGUACACAGAGCAGACAAGAAAGAAGAGCCCUUGAAAACAAGGGAAUGAUUUUUGAGUCGUUAUCAAGCUAAGUGGCAAGCGGGAAGCUGAAACUCGUAUAGGUAAAUUCGAAGGGACUCUUGGGAGAUCUGCAAGUGGGAAACAAGAAUGCAUUUUAUCAACUGCUUAAUUAUGUCCUGUUUUUCAACAAGUACACUUGAAUUGAAUGUUUUGUUUAUACUGCACAAAACCAUGUGCUGUGGGCAAGAGUAUUCUCUUGCUUUCAGGUCAAGUAAGGUGUUUUAUACACAUACAUGUCUGACCUAUUCUAUAAUGUGCAAUUGGGUAUGUUAGUAUCUGAACCCCAAUAUUGCACUGUCAUUUUUGGGGGAAAGUCAUAUAGGAACCAGAAGCCCUAAAAAGUGGGACCUUCUCUAAGGUUCUGAGCAAUUAUAUGAGCCCAGGCAUCCCAGAGUAUACCAUACUUUCAGGGAAAUGGUGGCUCAGGAAAAUGUUAAAAUAUAUCUGGAAAAAAAAAAAACAGACCAGAAUAUUUUGAAUAUGAUGUAAAUUUCAUAAUCUCCCAUCCCUAAAUCUUUAAGAAAGUAUUUUUUUGGUUUCCAUUAGCAGUCCCAAGGGCUAGGCUGGGGCAAAAUAGGGUUUCGUUUCUUGGACGUGCUUUAUCUGUGUCCUCUUGCCUGGCCAAGCCCUUAUAGAUUAUGGUUCCUUAUCGUUUAGUAAGAUCAAAUUUCUAAAUGAUGUUUCGUUCCAGUUGAACAUUCUUGGAGGCUUAUCUCUUCCCUGGCCAGAUGCCUGAUCAGAUGAGAAGCCCGCCAUGAUACUGUCACAGUGCCUAGAAUGGGCUCUUUAUCCAGUAGACAUCACUGUACUUUUUGAUACGAGGGCAGUCUUAACUUGUGUUAAGGCCUGUGUGUAGCAUUGAAGAGAGGAGUUGCUUAAACCAAUGGGACUAAAACCUGAUGGGACAAUAACGCCUUUGGAGGAAGCACUCAACCAGUACUCUGUCAUCGAAGAGACCAGCUCUGACACAGACUAAAAGCAUCACCUGCUCAACUCUCAAUAUUGCUUUAUCAGCAUCUUUUCUCUGUAGCUCCAGGGGAAUCUUUUCUCUAAAACAUUUAUGCCCUUGCUUUGGCUAGAAACACAUUAACUGGUUUACUCAUUGAGAAUCCAGCAUAUUUAAGAGGUGACCCUGUGUUUUUUGCGAUAUUGAGGCAUUUAUACAGAGCUGCAGUUAGACGGAGUUACAGGGGCUA